UCCAGGGUAGCCUAGUGGACAUGGCAUCUGCCCGGUAAGCGGAACAAUGUGGGUUCGAAUCCCAUCCCUGGAC
RNAcentral lists this transfer RNA (73 nucleotides) under Cordylochernes scorpioides. RNAcentral describes it as "tRNA-Thr". It matches the Rfam family "tRNA". Rfam says of the family: Transfer RNA (tRNA) molecules are approximately 80 nucleotides in length. Their secondary structure includes four short double-helical elements and three loops (D, anti-codon, and T loops). Further hydrogen bonds mediate the characteristic L-shaped molecular structure. tRNAs have two regions of fundamental functional importance: the anti-codon, which is responsible for specific mRNA codon recognition, and the 3' end, to which the tRNAs corresponding amino acid is attached (by aminoacyl-tRNA synthetases). tRNAs cope with the degeneracy of the genetic code in two manners: having more than one tRNA (with a specific anti-codon) for a particular amino acid; and 'wobble' base-pairing, i.e. permitting non-standard base-pairing at the 3rd anti-codon position. The record is from RNAcentral. Lineage: Eukaryota; Metazoa; Arthropoda; Arachnida; Pseudoscorpiones; Chernetidae.